CCUACGAGACGCAGCAGUGGGGAAUAUUGCACAAUGGGGGAAACCCUGAUGCAGCGACGCCGCGUGAGUGAAGAAGUAAUUCGUUAUGUAAAGCUCUAUCAGCAGGGAAGAAAAUGAGGGUACCGGAGUAAGAAGCCCCGGCUAACCACGUGCAAGCAGCCGCGGUAAUACGUAGGGGGCAAGAGUUAUACGGAUUUACUGGGUGGAAAGAGCGCGUAGACGGCAGUGCAGGUUUGGAGUGAAAGGCGGGGGUUAAACCCCCGGCCUGAUCUGGAAACUGUACGGCUGGAGUGCCGUAGAGGUAAGUAGAAUUCCUAGGGUAGCGGUGAAAUGCGUAGAUAUUAGGAGGAAUACCAGUGGCGAAGGCGGCUUACUGGACUGUAACUGACGUUGAGGCUCGAAAGCGUGGGGAGCAAACAGGAUUAGAUACCCCUGUAGUC
RNAcentral lists this ribosomal RNA (440 nucleotides) under uncultured bacterium. Its description in RNAcentral is "partial 16S ribosomal RNA". It matches the Rfam family "Bacterial small subunit ribosomal RNA", at positions 338 to 795 of the family's 1533-position model. The record is from RNAcentral.